This 1956-nucleotide ribosomal RNA is filed under the name Lucilia sericata (common green bottle fly). Its description in RNAcentral is "eukaryotic LSU rRNA". It matches the Rfam family "Eukaryotic large subunit ribosomal RNA", at positions 43 to 1852 of the family's 3401-position model. The record is from RNAcentral. Lineage: Eukaryota; Metazoa; Arthropoda; Insecta; Diptera; Calliphoridae.
UUAAUGAGGGGAGGAAAAGAAACUAACAAGGAUUUUCUUAGUAGCGGCGAGCGAAAAGAAAAUAGUUCAGCACUAAGUCACUUUGUCUUUAUGGCAAAUGUGAGAUGCAGUGUAUGGAAUGUCAAAUUUCUAGUAUGAGAAAUUAACGAUUUAAGUCCUUCUUAAAUGAGGCCAUUUACCCAAAGAGGGUGCCAGGCCCGUAUAACGUUAAUGAUUACUAGAUGGCAUUUCCAAAGAGUCGUGUUGCUUGAUAGUGCAGCACUAAGUGGGUGGUAAACUCCAUCUAAAACUAAAUAUAACCAUGAGACCGAUAGUAAACAAGUACCGUGAGGGAAAGUUGAAAAGAACUCUGAAUAGAGAGUUAAAUAGUACGUGAAACUGCUUAGAGGUUAAGCCCGAUGAACCUGAAUAUCCGUUAUGGAAAAUUCAUCAUUAUGAUUUUAAUAUUUAUAAUAUUAUAAUAAUGGUGUGCAUUUUUUCUAUAAAGGACAUUGUAAUCUAUUAACUUUACAUUAUUUAUCAUAAGAUCAUUAGAUUAUGUUUAUUCAAAUUAUUUUGCUUGCAAUUUAAUAUCGAAUAAAUUCUUUUGAUUUGAUAAAGCGUUGAUAGAUUUAUUAUAUACAGUGCUUAAAUAUUUAUAUUUUAUAAUAUCAUAUUAAUCAAUGAUUUUUAUGUUCAUUAUAUGCACUUGUAUGAUUAACAAUGCGAAAGAUUCAGGAUACCUUCGGGACCCGUCUUGAAACACGGACCAAGAAGUCUAACACCUUGACCAUAUAUGCUGUGACCCGAAAGAUGGUGAACUAUACUUGAUCAGGUUGAAGUCAGGGGAAACCCUGAUGGAAGACCGAAACAGUUCUGACGUGCAAAUCGAUUGUCAGAAUUGAGUAUAGGGGCGAAAGACCAAUCGAACCAUCUAGUAGCUGGUUCCCUCCGAAGUUUCCCUCAGGAUAGCUGGUGCAUUUAAAAAUUAUGUAAAAUAAUCUUAUCUGGUAAAGCGAAUGAUUAGAGGCCUUAGGGUCGAAACGAUCUUAACCUAUUCUCAAACUUUAAAUGGGUAAGAACCUCACCUUUCUUGGUAUGAAGGUUGUGGUUGUGAUAUAAUGUGCCCAGUGGGCCACUUUUGGUAAGCAGAACUGGCGCUGUGGGAUGAACCAAACGUAAUGUUACGGUGCCCAAAUUAACAACUCAUGCAGAUACCAUGAAAGGCGUUGGUUGCUUAAAACAGCAGGACGGUGGACAUGGAAGUCGUAAUCCGCUAAGGAGUGUGUAACAACUCACCUGCCGAAGCAACUAGCCCUUAAAAUGGAUGGCGCUUAAGUUGUAUACCUAUACAUUACCGCUAAAGUAGAUGGUUUAUAUUCAAUUUCGGUUGGAUUUUAAACUUUGAAACUUUAGUGAGUAGGAGGGUACAAUGGUGAGCAUAGAAGUGUUUGGCGUAAGCCUGCAUGGAGCUGCCAUUGGCACAGAUCUUGGUGGUAGUAGCAAAUAAUCGAAUGAGACCUUGGAGGACUGAAGUGGAGAAGGGUUUCGUGUGAACAGUGGUUGAUCACGAGUUAGUCGGUCCUAAGUUUAAGGCGAAAGCCGAAAAUUUUCAAGUUAUAAUGAAUAAGUAAAAUAUAUACAAGUAUAUAUAAGAAAAAGUAAUAAAACACUUGAAUAAUUUUGAACGAAAGGGAAUACGGUUCCAAUUCCGUAACCUGUUGAGUAUCCGUUUGUUAUUAAAUAUGGGCCUUGUGCUCAUCCUGGCAACAGGAACGACCAUAAAGAAGCCGUCGAGAGAUAUCGGAAGAGUUUUCUUUUCUGUUUUAUAGUCGUACUACCAUGGAAGUCUUUCGAAGAGAGAUAUGGUAGAUGGACUAGAAGAGCAUGACAUUUACUGUUGUGUCGAUAUUUUCUCCUCGGACCUUGAAAAUUUAUGGUGGGGUCACGCAAACUUCUCAACAGGCCGUACCAAUA